Silurus meridionalis is the source of this 905-nucleotide long non-coding RNA. RefSeq lists it as uncharacterized. The transcript is spliced from 2 exons. Lineage: Eukaryota; Metazoa; Chordata; Actinopteri; Siluriformes; Siluridae. The record is from RefSeq and is a predicted model, not a curated record.
AAGCGGACGUCUGCGCUCGGGCUUGGAAUUCCAGUCCAGUCCAUUUCUUUUUCUCAUCCGCUUCUUCGAUUCUCAUCGAAUCUUUUCAGUUUAUUCCUUCAGACGUAUUACUGACUUAUGUAUCACAACACUACGGAGGCGUGUCCUGAGAGUCACAUAGAAUAAAGAUUAACAUGGCAGAGGUUCUUCCUUGGUGGCAUUUUAAUAAUCACUUACACCUUUUUUCGGAUCCUGAGGAUGUUCUGUAUCAGAGGUACAGUUGUUGUUAACGUUGCAGAUAGAAUUUCAUGUAGUAGAACCGUGGUGUGCACAUGCUGAACUGUGAUUGGCUGUGUCCCAAAAUGGUAAAGCACUCUGAUAAUCGGGUUUCUGGGGGGGAAAAAAAACACAGAAUAUACCGAAUUCACCUUAGAUGUAGAGCUUAUAGAAGUUGUAUUGGAUUCAGCUGCAGAUGCAUUUGUCCACUUAGUAGGGUUGCGGAAUUCUGGGAAUUUCCAAGACUUUCCAUGGGAAUUAACAGGAAUAUAUGGGAUUUAAUUUACAAAAUUGCAGGUUAGCCUUUAUUAGGGAAUUUAAUUGUAGGAAAUGUUUUUUAAAACAACCAGAUUGAAUGUAAUUCCAGUAAAAUUUUACCUGGACGUUCAUCCAUCACAUGCACGCAGCACACUUAGAGCAGGGCUACUGAGGCCACGCCCCCUACGUGCACUGUGCAUCCCUCCAUCACAUAGCAUGCGUCAUUUCUUCAAUCCUGCACACAAAAUGAUGUCCAAAAAACGUCCAUCUUGUUGAUUAUUCACGUAAAUUACAUAAAUCUGUCUUUUUGUUUCGCCAUGUGUAAGCCGCAACAAAAUUAUACUAACAAUUAAAUCAGUCAGAAAUGUUUGUUUGCGUGCAUGCUAACUUAU